RNAcentral lists this unclassified non-coding RNA (550 nucleotides) under plant metagenome. Its description in RNAcentral is "partial contains small subunit ribosomal RNA, internal transcribed spacer 1, and 5.8S ribosomal RNA". The record is from RNAcentral.
UUUCCGUAGGUGAACCUGCGGAAGGAUCAUUAUAGUAUAACCAAGGUGCGAGGGCUGUCGCGGACUAGACAGGUCGUGCCCGCCAGAGUGCCCUCCCACACAUCCAUCUCACCCCUAUGUGCACGACCGCGUGGGUCCCACUUUGGCUUGUUCAGUGGGGGGCUUACGUUUUGACCCAAUCUUUGUCUGCUGUGUAGAAUGUAUUUUGUGUUUUUGCGAUCACGCAAUCAAUACAAAUUUAAAAAAGGGACAUCUCUGUUAUCGCAUCGAAAAAGAACGUGACACGUGUUCGUGGGGUGGGCCUGAGGAAGAAUAGUGAUGUUAUGCGCGCUGUUGGGGUGCAGGCGCAGAGCCGACAAGACGUGCACGCACGAGUGCCAUCACACAGAUCAACCCCUCCCCGUUGUUCACCACGGCUUGGUUCCGCCUGUGGCUUGUUCGGGGGGGGUCUUACGUUUUCACACAAACUUUGUAUGCAGUAUAGAAUUUAGUUUUUGUUUUUGCGAUCACGCAAUCAAUACAACUUUCAACAACGGAUCUCUUGGCUCUC